UUCCGGUUGAUCCUGCCGGACCCGACUGCUAUUUGGGUGAGAAUAAGCCAUGCGAGUUGAAUGGGAUACCUAAAGUUCCCAUAGCAAACUGCUCAGUAACACAUGAUCAACUUACCCUAUAGAGAAAAAUAACCUCGGGAAACUGAGGAUAAUGUUUCAUAAUUGAAUUGGCUUGGAAAAGUUUUUCAAUGAAAAGGAUAAAAAAAAUGGUUUUUAUCUGCUAUAGGAUAGGAUCGUGUUCGAUUAUGGUUGUUGGUGAGAUAAUGGCUCACCAAGCCGAUAAUCGAUAGGGGCCGUGAGAGCGGGAGCCCCGAGAUGGGUACUGAGACAACGACCCAGGCCUUACGAGGCGCAGCAGGCGCGGAACCUCCGCAAUACACGAAAGUGUGACGGGGUUACCCAAAGUGUUCAAUAGAACUGUGGUAGGUGAGUAAUGUUCCCUACUAGAAAGGAGAGGGCAAGGCUGGUGCCAGCCGCCGCGGUAAAACCAGCUCUUCAAGUGGUCGGGAUAAUUAUUGGGCUUAAAGUGUCCGUAGCCGGUUUAGUUAGUUCCUGGUAAAAUCGGGUAGCUUAACUAUCUGCAUGCUAGGAAUACUGCUAUACUAGAGGGCGGGAGAGGUCUGAGGUACUACAGGGGUAGGGGUGAAAUCUUAUAAUCCUUGUAGGACCACCAGUGGCGAAGGCGUCAGACUGGAACGCGCCUGACGGUGAGGGACGAAAGCCAGGGGAGCGAACCGGAUUAGAUACCCGGGUAGUCCUGGCCGUAAACGAUGCAUACUAGGUGAUGGUACGGCCAUGAGCCGUAUCAGUGCCGUAGGGAAACCGUUAAGUGUGCCGCCUGGGAAGUACGGUCGCAAGGCUAAAACUUAAAGGAAUUGGCGGGGGAGCACCACAAGGGGUGAAGCCUGCGGUUCAAUUGGAUUCAACGCCGGA
This 933-nucleotide ribosomal RNA is filed under the name uncultured archaeon. RNAcentral's name for it is "partial 16S ribosomal RNA". It matches the Rfam family "Archaeal small subunit ribosomal RNA", at positions 1 to 922 of the family's 1478-position model. The record is from RNAcentral.